CAAGAGGUAGUUUAAGUAAAAUACUAGUUUUGGGAAUUGGUGAUAAGUUUUAAUACUUUCUCUUGA
Molecule: transfer RNA, 66 nt
Filed under: Ctenolepisma villosum
Lineage: Eukaryota; Metazoa; Arthropoda; Insecta; Zygentoma; Lepismatidae
Description: Ctenolepisma villosa tRNA-Pro
Rfam family: tRNA
About the family: Transfer RNA (tRNA) molecules are approximately 80 nucleotides in length.
Source: RNAcentral